This 85-nucleotide transfer RNA is filed under the name Chlorokybus atmophyticus. Its description in RNAcentral is "tRNA-Leu". It matches the Rfam family "tRNA". Rfam says of the family: Transfer RNA (tRNA) molecules are approximately 80 nucleotides in length. Their secondary structure includes four short double-helical elements and three loops (D, anti-codon, and T loops). Lineage: Eukaryota; Viridiplantae; Streptophyta; Chlorokybophyceae; Chlorokybales; Chlorokybaceae. The record is from RNAcentral.
GCGAUAGUGGUGAAAUUGGUAAACACGUUACUUUGAGGUGGUAAUGAACAAUAAGUUCUCGCGGGUUCAAAUCCCGCCUAUCGCA